AUUGAACGCUGGCGGCAUGCUUUACACAUGCAAGUCGAACGGGUGAAGGGGCAACUCUUCAUUCAGUGGCGAACGGGUGAGUAAUGCAUCGGAACGUACCUCGUAGUGGGGGAUAACUCGGCGAAAGCCGUGCUAAUACCGCAUAUGCUCUACGGAGGAAAGCAGGGGACCUGAGAGGGCCUUGUGCUAUGGGAGCGGCCGAUGUCCGAUUAGCUAGUUGGNGGGGUAAUGGCCUACCAAGGCGACGAUCGGUAGCUGGUCUGAGAGGAUGAUCAGCCACACUGGGACUGAGACACGGCCCAAACUCCUACGGAGGCAGCAGUGGGGAAUAUUGCGCAAUGGGCGGAAGCC
RNAcentral lists this ribosomal RNA (351 nucleotides) under uncultured bacterium. RNAcentral's name for it is "bacterial SSU rRNA". It matches the Rfam family "Bacterial small subunit ribosomal RNA", at positions 30 to 383 of the family's 1533-position model. The record is from RNAcentral.